Molecule: ribosomal RNA, 490 nt
Filed under: uncultured bacterium
Lineage: Bacteria
Description: bacterial SSU rRNA
Rfam family: Bacterial small subunit ribosomal RNA
Source: RNAcentral
AACGCUAGCGGCAGGCUUAAUACAUGCAAGUUGAGGGGCAGCAUGAUAUACGCGAGUAUAUUGAUGGCGACCGGCGGACGGGUGAGUAAUAGGUAGGAGACCUACCUCAUACAGGGGGAUAGCAUAGAGAAAUCUGUGGUAAUACCCCAUGAGGUUAUAUGAAUAGAGGCAUAUAAUCAAAGCAUAAGCGAUUAUGCGGUAUGAGAGGGGCCUACUGACCAUUAGCUAGUUGGUGAGGUAACGGCUUACCAAGGCGACGAUGUUUAGGGGACCUGAGAGGGUUGUCCCCCACACUGGUACUGAGACACGGACCAGACUCCUACGGGAGGCAGCAGUGAGGAAUAUUGGUCAAUGGGCGCAAGCCUGAACCAGCCAUCCCGCGUGAAGGAAGAAUGCGCUACGCGUUGUAAACUUCUUUUCCAGGGGGAGAAUAAUCCUGUCGUGACAGGACUUGACGGUACUCUGGGAAUAAGCAUCGGCUAACUCCGUG